AAUGGGGGAAACCCUGAUGCAGCGAUGCCGCGUGAGUGAAGAAGGCCCUUGGGUUGUAAAACUCUUUCGUCGGGGAAGAAAAUGACUGUACCCGAAUAAGAAGGUCCGGCUAACUUCGUGCCAGCAGCCGCGGUAAUACGAAGGGACCUAGCGUAGUUCGGAAUUACUGGGCUUAAAGAGCUCGUAGGUGGUUAAAAAAGUUGAUGGUGAAAUCCCAAGGCUCAACCUUGGAACUGCCAUCAAAACUUUUUAGCUAGAGUGUGAUAGAGGUAAGUGGAAUUUCUAGUGUAGAGGUGAAAUUCGUAGAUAUUAGAAAGAACACCAAAUGCGAAGGCAACUUACUGGGUCACUACUGACACUGAGAAGCGAAAGCAUGGGUAGCGAAGAGGAUU
RNAcentral lists this ribosomal RNA (392 nucleotides) under uncultured Gammaproteobacteria bacterium. RNAcentral's name for it is "bacterial SSU rRNA". It matches the Rfam family "Bacterial small subunit ribosomal RNA", at positions 370 to 779 of the family's 1533-position model. The record is from RNAcentral. Lineage: Bacteria; Pseudomonadati; Pseudomonadota; Gammaproteobacteria.